Molecule: long non-coding RNA, 563 nt
Organism: Brassica napus (rape)
Lineage: Eukaryota; Viridiplantae; Streptophyta; Magnoliopsida; Brassicales; Brassicaceae
Exons: 2
Source: RefSeq, a predicted model, not a curated record
GGUGGAAGCCCAGCUGCCCCGGCGGUGCUGCGGGGCCCGCGCUUGUGGUGCUCAUGGGGUUGGUUUGGUAUGGGUUUGAGCCGUAGUUCAUGGCUCCGGACUGUGCAUGCUCUUGUUGAUCCAUUCUCUACAAGAAACAAACAAACAAAGAUAUAAACUUUGGAAAGACUAAAGCUUUCUCAAUCAAAUCGUUGGAACAAACCUAGAAGAUCUAAAACAGCAAGUAUAAGCAAGAACAGGACAGAGAAAGAAAAUAAUUGGGGAAAGGAGAGAGACCUCUGAGUUGGUUGAUGCGGGAGAAGAGAGCGUGAAGAUCUGGUUUGUAAUCUUUUGAUUUGGUUUUUAAUUAGGGUUUUUGCUGCUUUUCCCCCUUUUUAUCGACUUUAACAAUGAAGAGAGAAGAGAAAGGGAGGAAGUGGAAAAGGCUUUUAAAAGAGAUGGGUGUCGUGUCAAGCGUUGGGCUUUCGUCUAGAUUCUUGUAGCCUUGUCAGAUGAUGCUUCCUUGUUUUAUUAUUAUGUAAUGUAAUGUAAUUAAUUAAUUAAUUAUUACUCUUUUGACUCAA